AAGGGUCUUCAGGGCAGGGUGAAAUUCCCGACCGGCGGUGACAAGAGAGCUUGGUUUUGAGAUGAAGUGCAUCUUCAGUAGAUCGAAGGAUCGAUGCAGAAAAAGAUUGCAGGUUUCUAAAAAUUCAGGCUGUUUGAAGUCCGCGAGCGAAAGCUGAUGAGGUGAGAAUCCUCGACCGACAGUAUAGUCUGGAUGGGAGAAGACAAGG
Molecule: non-coding RNA, 208 nt
Filed under: Streptococcus sp.
Lineage: Bacteria; Bacillati; Bacillota; Bacilli; Lactobacillales; Streptococcaceae
Also listed under: 1 other name
Description: FMN sequence
Rfam family: FMN riboswitch aptamer (RFN element)
About the family: The RFN element is a highly conserved domain that is found frequently in the 5'-untranslated regions of prokaryotic mRNAs that encode for flavin mononucleotide (FMN) biosynthesis and transport proteins. This element is a metabolite-dependent riboswitch that directly binds FMN in the absence of proteins.
Source: RNAcentral